RNAcentral lists this long non-coding RNA (721 nucleotides) under Bos indicus x Bos taurus (hybrid cattle). RNAcentral's name for it is "lncRNA (ENSBIXG00000013131.1)". The record is from RNAcentral. Lineage: Eukaryota; Metazoa; Chordata; Mammalia; Artiodactyla; Bovidae.
GCCUGCUCUCCUGACAUGUUGAGAUCCUGAAGCGAGUGCUCAGAGCAGCCAGACGUGCGCCCUGGUGGCUUGGCAAUGUCUGCUGUGGGUGUGGGUGGGGAGGCAGUGGCCUGCACCCUCCAGACACCACCUGAAGGCGGAGUCCUGGGGGCAAGGCUGGGAGUGGUUCUCAUGUCUGUAAGUCUGGCAUGGGGCCUGCAGCCAGGAGCUCGCCUAGUGGCUGAUGGAGGCUGGAGGGGCGGGCUGGGCAGGGCAGAGGGAGGAGGGAGCAGACCAAGGAGGGCCGCAGGGACCGGCCCCAAGGGUGAGAGGGCGGGCAGCCGGCCCCACUCCUGGCUGGGCUGGUUUCGCCUGGCUCUCUGCUCCUCCGCCAACUGGCUUGCUAUGACGUGGGCAUCCCCGAGCGGGCCCUGCAACGCUCGGCUCUCCUGGCAAUGGUGCCCCGGCCCCAGGCAUUCUGGAGCCAGAGAACCAGCAGGAGGCUUGCGGUUGGACGGGGAGCUCAGAGAGGACCACCCGAACUGCUGUCCUUCCCCAGAAACCACUGCCCCCACCGGGAGAGAUGGGCCGUCCCCAUCUGUGGGUGGCAGCUCAGGCCUGGACCCGGAGACCCGUCUGCUGGAGGCGGGGAGGCUGGGGUGCCGACCCCCGAAGGAGCCAGCCCCACGCAGGAUGCUUCUCAGGCUUUGAUCAGCCAACUCCAUGCUGGCUGGGGAACUGA